GAAAUUCACAGACAACUUUAACGCGUGAAACCUGACGGUGACAGGGCCCUUUAGGUCUACACUUCCCUGUCGUGAGCUGAGGAGGAAGUUUCUAGUGAUUUGCACAUACAAGGCAGGCAGAAGUUUGUACUCUAGAAGCUCUAUCAAAACAAAUGAACUCUGAUUCAGAAUCUUAAUUUACUUCCAGUCCAGAGCCACAAGGGCAGACCUGAGUGACAAGUCUUAUCUUCACUGGUAGAUGCGGGGGGCGGGGGGUACAGUUAAGGCAAGGAAUGACGAGAUCUGAAUCAUGUUUGGAAAACCCCCACACAUAUGGUGAAGGAGAGAAGAGGCUGGCCCAGAGGAAGUUAGUGGUGCUUAUUAAACACCCACAGACUGACUGGCUAACCUUGGCUUAAGUGACUACAGUAACCUCGGAGCGUUUGUUGAGCGGGGACCACAGCCUGUCAGUCAAGCGCAGUUGGAUGGCUUGGUCUGAAAACGAGCCAGCCGGCCAGUGAGAUCCCAAAC
This 510-nucleotide long non-coding RNA is filed under the name Mus pahari (shrew mouse). RNAcentral describes it as "lncRNA (MGP_PahariEiJ_G0004444.1)". Lineage: Eukaryota; Metazoa; Chordata; Mammalia; Rodentia; Muridae. The record is from RNAcentral.